Molecule: long non-coding RNA, 2203 nt
Organism: Gallus gallus (chicken)
Lineage: Eukaryota; Metazoa; Chordata; Aves; Galliformes; Phasianidae
Source: Ensembl
GCACUGACAGCCCCCUCUCCCUCUCAGCAUUUCCUCUCUCUCCUCUCUCUCUGCCUCGUUCUCUCUUUCUCUCCCUCCCUCUCUCUCUCUCUCUUUUUGUCUCUCUUUAUGUCUAUGGCAUUGUGUCUGAAUAAUUUUCAGGCCUUUUUUUUUCCUUCCUUCUCAUAUGCACACGCUAAAAGAACUAGACAAAGAUACAAGGUGUUUGCUGCAGUCCACAUCUCUAGGAGAAAAAAAAAAAAAAGCUCAUGAUUACAGUGCCACUUUUUUUUUUUUUCUUUUUCUUUUUUUUUUUUUUUUUUUUCCACCUAUGCUCAGUGAUUAAACUUCCCCAGGAUGGGGAAGAAAUAAGAGGUGGAAUUGAAAUAGGGAUGAGGAAAAUACCAUUGCAGCAGCUGCAGUCAGUGGUGUCUGCUGCCAGAUGUGUGAAGGUUCCCGGGGUCCUGGACACUAAAAGGAUGCAUAAAAAUAUUUGGAGACAAAAGCUGCAUCCUCAGUGAUCAUUUUCUGUAUUUAACAUGGCAGCAGGCACCGUGUGGAGAAAUCAACAAGCUGGAUGUUGAACUGGACUUUCCUCCUUUCUAGGAUGAAAGGAUGUGAUCUAUCCCGUGCCAAAAGGGAGCUGAGAGCAAUGAACAUAUGGCUGUUAAUAUCAGCACUGGUGUAUUUGCAGCGAUGCCUAUCAACAUCCACCAGAGAGCAGGGCAGCUCCAAAACCCACAUCUUUCAUGCUGUGGAAAUUGAUGGAGACAGCAACACAGCCAGCUUCUUGGCCAAACAACAUGGAAUGCAGUUCAUUUCAAAGGUACUGGUCUCUCAGCCUGUAAGGCUUGUGCAUGAUGUAUAUGAGAACGAUUUCCAGCAGAGAGAAGCUUAUCACAGAUCCACCUAAAAGCUGCAAAAAGGAAGCAUUUGGCAGGAGAAGGGAGAUUGUUUCAAAACAGUUGGAUGAAAUGCUCCUAUGGUGCUGGAGUUUCACUCUGCCAUGAUCAAUGAAUAAUUAUUGCUUUCUGAUGUCAGUGGGAUCUGAUGAGAGUAAGAUGGUUAGAGUGCAAGCAGACAGCAAAAACAGCAGUGACAAAAACUUGCUGGUCUCCUCCUGCUGUCCAGCCUACAAGAUGUGAUCAACUCCUGGCAUAAGAGAAAGAAAUUUUGAAAGGAAGAGACGAUGGCAUCAACAAUGUGCCCCUGUGUCUGAAAGACAUAAUUACUGGGUGGAGGAACAGGCUGCUCAUCUCCUCCUGGGCAGGAUGAGAAUGGUGCCGGUAAGGAAUGAAAAUACUUCCAGGAACUGAAGGAAUGAUUAGAGCAUAUCUAAAGAGGAUAUUUGCCCAUGACUGUUAAAGUGCUGAAUUGACUUUCUUGAUCCUAGAUAAAUAAACAGAGAGGAGGCUUUCUGCUACUGUAGGCUGUGCUGGAGGCUUCACCUUUUCCUGUCAGAUGUGGACUUUGCUACAGCAUUUCAAGGUCUUGGAAGAAGGCCUAAGAAGUGUGUACUCAAUAUUCUAUAUACUGAGAGAAUAUAAGCAAGUAUGCAAAACUAACUCUCCUUCACGAGAAAUUGAAGAGUGGACCGUGGGUAGUAGCCCUGUUUGUAUUUACAUCCAGUCAUUUAUUGCCCAUUAAAGAAGUAAUGCUAUGUUAAUGUAAGGGAAAAAAUCAAUGCUACUCAGAUCAGUAGCUGUGGGGAAACAGUGCAGCAGCUGGUUUGCAAACAGCAAGCCCACAUAGAUCAAUGAAAUUACAAGCUAAAUCUGCUGAUGCUCACAAACUGCUCCAGCAUUGUGAUGUCUAACCUUUCUCAAGUUCAAGAUCUCUGUGCUGCUCAUCAAUGCUGAUGGCAAGAUAUGUGAUAGCUGUGAUAGUUAUUAACAAGGUGAAAGUUGUCUGUAUACAAUAAUGUUGCUGUUGGUGAGUGAAUAUUGAUGGAAAACUCUCGUUUGACUUGCUGGCUAGGAGUGAAAGAGAAGUUCAGCAAAGGUUAGGAAUUGCUGCUUCUAAGUUUGGCUCAAGAUCAACAAUGACUGUAAGGGAACACCAGGAUUUUUUCACAACUUCUUAUGUCAAAUACGUGGGUGUGCUCACAUUCAAGAUGGAGUUUCUGAGUGCUAUCUGUUCAGACUCUGUGUCUUCAGAGUAGGGUAUUUUUCUUUAUUUGAACCUCAAUGAAAAAUUUUUUUGUCUGAGCUAAGGAGAAGUGGUC